RNAcentral lists this ribosomal RNA (541 nucleotides) under uncultured bacterium. RNAcentral describes it as "partial 16S ribosomal RNA". It matches the Rfam family "Bacterial small subunit ribosomal RNA", at positions 355 to 887 of the family's 1533-position model. The record is from RNAcentral.
UGGGGAAUAUUGCACAAUGGGCGCAAGCCUGAUGCAGCCAUGCCGCGUGUGUGAAGAAGGCCUUCGGGUUGUAAAGCACUUUCAGCGAGGAGGAAGGUGGUGAACUUAAUACGUUCAUCAAUUGACGUUACUCGCAGAAGAAGCACCGGCUAACUCCGUGCCAGCAGCCGCGGUAAUACGGAGGGUGCAAGCGUUAAUCGGAAUUACUGGGCGUAAAGCGCACGCAGGCGGUUUGUUAAGUCAGAUGUGAAAUCCCCGGGCUCAACCUGGGAACUGCAUUUGAAACUGGCAAGCUAGAGUCUCGUAGAGGGGGGUAGAAUUCCAGGUGUAGCGGUGAAAUGCGUAGAGAUCUGGAGGAAUACCGGUGGCGAAGGCGGCCCCCCUGGACGAAGACUGACGCUCAGGUGCGAAAGCGUGGGGCAGCAAACAGGAUUAGAUACCCUGGUAGUCCACGCUGUAAACGAUGUCGAUUUGGAGGUUGUGCCCUUGAGGCGUGGCUUCCGGAGCUAACGCGUUAAUCGACCGCCUGGGGAGUACGGCC